GGAGUUAGCCGGUGCUUCUUCUGUGAGUGAUGUCCUUCCUGCCGGCUAUUAACCCGCAGGCCUUCUUCCUCACUGAAAGUGCUUUACAACCCGAAGGCCUUCUUCACACACGCGGCAUUGCUGGAUCAGGGUUGCCCCCAUUGUCCAAUAUUCCCCACUGCUGCCUCCCGUAGGAGUCUGGGCCGUGUCUCAGUCCCAGUGUGGCUGAUCAUCCUCUCAGACCAGCUACGGAUCGUCGCCUUGGUGAGCCGUUACCUCACCAACCAGCUAAUCCGACAUAGGCUCAUCCGAUAGCGCGAGGCCCGAAGGUCCCCCGCUUUCCCCCGUAGGGCGUAUGCGGUAUUAGCCUGGGUUUCCCCCAGGUUAUCCCCCACUACCGGGCAGAUUCCUAUGCAUUACUCACCCGUCCGCCGCUCGCCACCAGGGAGCAAGCUCCCCGUGCUGCCGCUCGACUUGCAUGUGUUAGGUCCGUCGCCGCCACGCGUUCUAUCUGAGCCACUAAUACAAACUACUCGA
Molecule: ribosomal RNA, 516 nt
Filed under: uncultured bacterium
Lineage: Bacteria
Description: partial 16S ribosomal RNA
Source: RNAcentral